AUAGUCGUAACUUACGCGACAUUGCUUCUAAUCUAAUAAGUGGGGCUAAAAUGCGGUUAUGAAUUUGUCAAAUUUUUGGCUAACCUUUUCAUAUUACACAUUAAUGGAAUGACACAACCUUCCAUAUACCAUUUUAAUGGAGGAUAUAUAAAAGAAUCCCUACAAACUCCAUCAUUCACCAGAUUUUCUUAUUCAAAUACUAGAACAUAAUAAGCUUCCAAUACGUUCAAGUGAGUCAUGGCUACCAUUACUAUUCAUUGCAUGGUCCCCUUUGAAGAAUCGAGAAAGUAGUGGUGUUGAUUUGUAUCAAGAACAAGUUAACGAGAAGUAGUGUAUAUGCACGUAUUAUACAUAUUUUGGACACUAGCUAAUAAUGAGGUUCAGAUUUGUGCAUUAUUAUAUAGUUUACCAUAGUGCUUUGAAAAUGGCUUUGACAAUCAAAUUAAUUGAAUUGUUCUGUACUUCUGUGCUUGCAGUGUAUUUGUUGGAAUGGAAGUACUCAAUUUUUCUUAAAGAUGUUAUGCCAUAUUAUUUUGUUAUGAGAAGCUAAGUAAAUUGGUGAUCAAGUUAUAUAGGAGCUAAUUACCGGUUAAAACAUCAGAGUUUAAAGGUGCAUGAGGCAUUAGUGUGUUACGUUCCCGUAUCAAUUUUAAAAAUAAUUGCAACAGUUUAGACGAGAUUUUCUUUUAUUUUUAGGAUUCAUUGCAAUAUUUUUUGUAUAUUUGGUAUCUAAAUUAGAUAGAGAAGACGUGUUUCAUUACAAUUUUUUGGUAAUGGUGAAUCACUUGAUCUUUCAAAUUGUAACAUUAGUAUAGUGCCAUAUGUAUAGUCA
Lycium ferocissimum is the source of this 832-nucleotide long non-coding RNA. RefSeq lists it as uncharacterized. The record is from RefSeq and is a predicted model, not a curated record. Lineage: Eukaryota; Viridiplantae; Streptophyta; Magnoliopsida; Solanales; Solanaceae. The transcript has 2 exons.